This 450-nucleotide ribosomal RNA is filed under the name uncultured bacterium. Its description in RNAcentral is "partial 16S ribosomal RNA". It matches the Rfam family "Bacterial small subunit ribosomal RNA", at positions 354 to 796 of the family's 1533-position model. The record is from RNAcentral.
GUGGGGAAUCUUCCGCAAUGGACGAAAGUCUGACGGAGCAACGCCGCGUGAGUGAUGAAGGUCUUCGGAUUGUAAAGCUCUGUUAAUCGGGACGAAAGAGCCUAGUGUGAAUAAUGCUAGGAAGUGACGGUACCGGAAUAGAAAGCCACGGCUAACUACGUGCCAGCAGCCGCGGUAAUACGUAGGUGGCAAGCGUUGUCCGGACUUAUUGGGCGUAAAGCGCGCGCAGGCGGAUCUGCCAGUCUGUCUUAAAAGUUCGGGGCUUAACCCCGUGAUGGGAUGGAAACUACAGAUCUAGAGUAUCGGAUAGGAAAGUGGAAUUCCUAGUGUAGCGGUGAAAUGCGUAGAUAUUAGGAAGAACACCAGUGGCGAAGGCGACUUUCUGGACGAAAACUGACGCUGAGGCGCGAAAGCCAGGGGAGCGAACGGGAUUAGAAACCCUUGUAGUCC